This 764-nucleotide ribosomal RNA is filed under the name uncultured Lysobacter sp. Its description in RNAcentral is "bacterial SSU rRNA". It matches the Rfam family "Bacterial small subunit ribosomal RNA", at positions 1 to 707 of the family's 1533-position model. The record is from RNAcentral. Lineage: Bacteria; Pseudomonadati; Pseudomonadota; Gammaproteobacteria; Lysobacterales; Lysobacteraceae.
CGAUGGGCCGACGUCGCAUGCUCCCGGCCGCCAUGGCGGCCGCGGGAAUCGAUUAGAGUUUGAUCAUGGCUCAGAGUGAACGCUGGCGGCAGGCCUAACACAUGCAAGUCGAACGGCAGCACAGCAGUAGCAAUACUGUGGGUGGCGAGUGGCGGACGGGUGAGGAAUACAUCGGGAUCUACCUUUUCGUGGGGGAUAACGUAGGGAAACUUACGCUAAUACCGCAUACGCCCUACGGGGGAAAGCGGCGGACCGCAAGGCGUCGCGCGAUGAGAUGAACCGAUGUCCGAUUAGCUAGUUGGCGGGGUAAAGGCCCACCAAGGCGACGAUCGGUAGCUGAUCUGAGAGGAUGAUCAGCCACACUGGAACUGAGACACGGUCCAGACUCCUACGGGAGGCAGCAGUGGGGAAUAUUGGACAAUGGGCGCAAGCCUGAUCCAGCCAUGCCGCGUGGGUGAAGAAGGCCUUCGGGUUGUAAAGCCCUUUUGUCCGGAAAGAAAAGCACGUAAUUAAUACCUAUGUGUGAUGACGGUACCGGAAGAAUAAGCACCGGCUAACUUCGUGCCAGCAGCCGCGGUAAUACGAAGGGUGCAAGCGUUACUCGGAAUUACUGGGCGUAAAGCGUGCGUAGGUGGUUUGUUAAGUCUGUCGUGAAAUCCCCGGGCUCAACCUGGGAAUGGCGAUGGAUACUGGCAAGCUAGAGUGAGGUAGAGGAGAGUGGAAUUCCCGGUGUAGCAGUGAAAUGCGUAGAGAUCGGGAGGGAC